Molecule: ribosomal RNA, 253 nt
Filed under: uncultured bacterium
Lineage: Bacteria
Description: partial 16S ribosomal RNA
Rfam family: Bacterial small subunit ribosomal RNA
Source: RNAcentral
UACGGAGGGAGCUAGCGUUGUUCGGAAUUACUGGGCGUAAAGCGCACGUAGGCGGCUUUGUAAGCUAGCGGUGAAAGCCCGGAGCUCAACUCCAGAAUUGCCUUUAAGACUGCAUCGCUUGAAUCCGGGAGAGGUGAGUGGAAUUCCGAGUGUAGAGGUGAAAUUCGUAGAUAUUCGGAAGAACACCAGUGGCGAAGGCGGCUCACUGGACCGGUACUGAAGCUGAGGUGCGAAAGCGUGGGGAGCAAACAGG